Molecule: long non-coding RNA, 1284 nt
Organism: Papaver somniferum (opium poppy)
Lineage: Eukaryota; Viridiplantae; Streptophyta; Magnoliopsida; Ranunculales; Papaveraceae
Exons: 2
Source: RefSeq, a predicted model, not a curated record
ACCCCCGUCAUCUUACUAAUGUUAUCAGACCUUUUUAACUUCAGAUCUCAAAACUGAAAAGAAAUAAUCUCUUCUGUAAACUCAUCUUUCGACAUUACAAUCACCUUCGCGCCGCCACCAACUCCGUCGCCACCAUUUCCAUCUCCUCCACUAUCAUCUCCAUCUCUAUCACCAUGAACAGUGAAAUAAACAAACCAGUUCCAGCGCCACCUCUUAUGCUACUACCAAAUACACCAGCAGCGACACCACCACCACUUCCAAAACAAUCGAUUUUAGAUCGAUUUUCACCCGAUUCAACUAGAAAUCGUAACCCUAGUGAUGAACCAACGCAAAAUCAAUCUCCAAAACCUAAUUUCAAGCAUCAGGUUCAUUUUGAUUUUCUACUAAAUUGUACAUGAUUCCCAUUUCAAACGUAAGUUUGGAUUUCAUUCUUCUUGCGAUCGAUAAUUGAUUCGGAUUAAGACCCUGUCAGAAUCUAUUGGUAAAACAUUGGACAAAGACUAGUCCGGAGAGGAAACAUAAAAUCUCAAUAAGCAGGUGACUAAUAUUAGCUCUCAUAUCAUCGUAGUGCCUGUACUUGUAUUAUUCUGUGAGUAACCUUGUAUUUCUUGAUUCAACAAUCUCAUUUGCUUGAAUAGUAUGGAUUUGAACUGCAAAAACAUUGAAGCAGUUAUAUUGGACGAACUUAUGGUAUAAUGGUAGCACACUGACUCCAUGUCAGAAGAUGCGUGUUUGAUUCACGCCAGGUUCACUAAUUUUAGCACAUCAAUAUUUGGGACCAACUUUGGUUUUUGACACCAUAUUUUGGGACCAACUUUGGCUGUUGACUCCAUGUUUCGGAAUCAACUCUGGUUGUCGACACCAUACAUAAUCCGAAGAUUUUUAGAAUUUUUAAUUUUUGUAUCAACUUUGGUAGUUGACACCACAUUUAGGUAUCAACUUCGGUUGUUGAUACCGUCAGCGGUGGCGGUGGCAGCGAUGGCGGUGCGGUGGUGGCGGCGGCGGCCGUGGUGGCAUUUCGGUGGUGGUGGUGACGGUUGGUAGGUGGUGGUGGUGGUGGUGGAUAUAUGGUGGUGCUAAUGGUGGUAGUGGCGGCGCUGGUGAGAUGAUGAUAGAAAAAAAAUGUUGUAUUUUGAAAUAAAGAUAAAUAUUAUAUGAGUGAGGGUAUUAAUGUAAUCUAUUUUUUAAGAUUUUUAAGUGAUAUGAUUAUAUUUAUUGUUGUAUAAGAAUAUAUUUGUUGGGUGUCAAAAUUAAGGGUAUACAAUUAAUGUAAAUUUUUUUUUU